This 1464-nucleotide long non-coding RNA is filed under the name Citrus x clementina. RNAcentral describes it as "Citrus clementina (C. clementina) long non-coding RNA (CCLE_LNC000550)". Lineage: Eukaryota; Viridiplantae; Streptophyta; Magnoliopsida; Sapindales; Rutaceae. The record is from RNAcentral.
GUGUAAUAUGAGAUGUAAUAUGAACAAUAGUUUCACCUUCUACAUAAGCUAAUAAUUUACUAAUAUGCAACUAGAUCAAUAUGAUAUGUAUUUGGUGUGUUUGGCUUGAAGAAAUAAAAGGAAAAAAGAGGAGAAGAAAGGGGGAGAAGAGAAAGAAAUAAGAAGAAAAAAGAUGAAUUUCAUGUGAAAUUGACCUUUUUUUCCCUUAUUUUUGUGCCCCUCUUUGAUUUCAACUGCUCUUCCUCUCCUCUCAUUCCUUCGAACCAAUUAUGGGUCUUUCCAUUGCUUUCUACACCUCUCAUUUCAUCCAAUCAAAUAUGCAUUUAAGGUUUCGUAAAAAAUGUAUUGUUAUUUAAAAAUUAUAUAAAUGCAUCACAAAACUCACGAUGCCACUGCCAUAUCCUUAGUUUACCACCAAACGCCUGCGCAUUGAGCAACAUUGCAAUGAAAAUCAACUUUUGGAUAAGUAAAGCUAAGAGUUCAUUUAACUUACAUAAAUAAAAAUCAGCAGUACAUUGAAUUUGACUCCAGCUUUUGGAUACAUGAUUUUGGGUAUUGGUUUUGAUAUGUAAAGUUAAGAGUUCACUUCGAGGUUUCUCGUCUUUCUGGAGAAUUGAAAGGGUAAACGUGACGUGUAAAAAUUCUAUUUACAGUGUGUAAACGGUCAAGGACUUAAAUGUAACAAAUUAAAACAAGUGGGACUUAUGUGUUUUAAUUUUCAAAGCUUUGCCCCUUUUGAUUUUGUAGUAAACAAUGAGGACUCCAGCGUCAAUUACCCAAAGCUAGUUUUCAAAACCAGCGGAAUUUAACAACAGCCCCACUCAUGUGGACAGGUCCAAAAAAGUCAAAAAGAAAAAGUGGAAAAUGGAAAAUGAGAAAAGUUGAGGCGGAAACCGCGGAAAUCUUUAAUCAUUAAGACGCGUCCGCCGAAAGGCAAAAGUUACUCGAACCGUGCAAAGAAAUACCCACGAAAUUUCCCCACACAUGAUUUUUAGUUGAUGCUGUGUUUUUCGUCUUUCUUCAAUGCUCGGGAAGACGUGAAAGAAAAGUUGGUGGAAGAUGCAAUAAAGAAAAAUGUAUCCUUAGAAGUAGUUGAUGAUGCCGCUUUAUUCCACGUACUCGAAAAAUUGAGAGGACAUAAUAUUGUAUAUAGGAAUGAUUUAUAUGCAACCAUAAAAUAUUUUAAUCUUAAUUUAAGUCACUUAUAAAUAAUUAUAAUUUUGCUAAAAAUCAUAUAUGUUAUAUUUAGGGAGCCUGUAUUCACAUAGAAUUGUAAGAAAAUGAAGUAAAAAAUUGAGGAGAAUGUAAAUAUUUAUAGUGUGUUUACUUAUUAAGAAUGAAAAUAGGAAUUAAGGAAUGAAAAUGGGUCAUAUAUUUACUUGAUUAAAUACGAGGUGAAAUGAUAUUUAAAGUGGUGGGCUCUAUCUAUAAUUGAGAAUGAUUAUUAAAAUUUUCAUUUUUAUG